RNAcentral lists this ribosomal RNA (301 nucleotides) under uncultured bacterium. RNAcentral describes it as "partial 16S ribosomal RNA". It matches the Rfam family "Bacterial small subunit ribosomal RNA", at positions 509 to 809 of the family's 1533-position model. The record is from RNAcentral.
CAGUCGCCGCGGGAAAACGUAGGCGGCAAGCGUUGUCCGGAAUUAUUGGGCGUAAAGGGAGCGCAGGUGGGACGGUAAGUCCGUCUUAAAAGGCAGGGGCUCAGCCCCUGUAAGGGAUGGAAACUAUCGAUCUUGAGUGCCGGAGAGGAAAGCGGAAUUCCCAGUGUAGCGGUGAAAUGCGUAGAUAUUGGGAAGAACACCAGUGGCGAAGGCGGCUUUCUGGACGGCAACUGACACUGAGGCUCGAAAGCCAGGGGAGUGAACGGGAUUAGAUACCCCGGUAGUCCCUGUCUCUUAUACA